Molecule: ribosomal RNA, 450 nt
Filed under: uncultured bacterium
Lineage: Bacteria
Description: partial 16S ribosomal RNA
Rfam family: Bacterial small subunit ribosomal RNA
Source: RNAcentral
CCUACGGGGGGCUGCAGUGGGGAAUCUUGCGCAAUGGGCGAAAGCCUGACGCAGCGACGCCGCGUGCGGGAAGAAGGCCUUAGGGUUGUAAACCGCUUUCAGGAGGGACGAAGCCACUCGGGUGAAUAGCCCAGAGGGUGACGGUACCUCCAGAAGAAGCCCCGGCUAACUACGUGCCAGCAGCCGCGGUAAUACGUAGGGGGCAAGCGUUGUCCGGAUGUAUUGGGCGGCGGCCGCGUGGGGGCGGCGUGAAAACUGGAGGCUCAACCUUCAGACGUCGACCGAAACCCCCUGGCUAGAGUCCGGGAGAGGAGAGUGGAAUUCCUGGUGUAGCGGUGGAAUGCGCAGAUAUCAGGAAGAACACCCGUGGCGAAAGCGGCUCUCUGGAACGGUACUGACGCUGAGACGCGAAAGCGUGGGGAGCGAACAGGAUUAGAUACCCCGGUAGUC